GACGAACGCUGGCGGCGUGCUUAACACAUACAAGUCGAACGGAAAGGCCCUGCUUUUGUGGGGUGCUCGAGUGGCGAACGGGUGAGUAACACGUGAGUAACCUGCCCUUGACUUUGGGAUAACUUCAGGAAACUGGGGCUAAUACCGGAUAGGAGCUCCUGCUGCAUGGUGGGGGUUGGAAAGUUUCGGCGGUUGGGGAUGGACUCGCGGCUUAUCAGCUUGUUGGUGGGGUAGUGGCUUACCAAGGCUUUGACGGGUAGCCGGCCUGAGAGGGUGACCGGCCACAUUGGGACUGAGAUACGGCCCAGACUCCUACGGGAGGCAGCAGUGGGGAAUAUUGCACAAUGGGCGGAAGCCUGAUGCAGCAACGCCGCGUGCGGGAUGACGGCCUUCGGGUUGUAAACCGCUUUCGCCUGUGACGAAGCGUGAGUGACGGUAAUGGGUAAAGAAGCACCGGCUAACUACGU
This 467-nucleotide ribosomal RNA is filed under the name uncultured bacterium. RNAcentral's name for it is "partial 16S ribosomal RNA". It matches the Rfam family "Bacterial small subunit ribosomal RNA", at positions 28 to 506 of the family's 1533-position model. The record is from RNAcentral.